UGAAUACGAGACGCUAAGGCGUCGAAGUAGUGUAUGUCAUACUUCCAAGAAAAGCUUGCACUGUCAUAGAUAAAAAACGCCUGUACCAUAACCGACACAGGUGGGUAGGUAGAGUAUACUAAGGGGCGCGAGAUAACUCUCUCUAAGGAACUCGGCAAAAUAACUCCGUAACUUCGGGAGAAGGAGUGCCUUAUUCGUAAGGUUGCAAUAACAAGAUCCAAGCAACUGUUUAUCAAAAACACAGGUCUCCGCUAAGUCGUAAGACGAUGUAUGGGGGCUGACGCCUGCCCAGUGCCAGAAGGUUAAAGAAGUUGGUUAGCAAUUGCGAAGCUGAUAACUGAAGCCCUGGUGAACGGCGGCCGUAACAAUAACGGUCCUAAGGUAGCGAAAUUCCUUGUCGGGUAAGUUCCGACCCGCACGAAAGGCGUAAUGAUUUGGAUACUGUCUCGGAGAGGGGCUCGGUGAAAUAGACUUGUCUGUGAAGAUGCGGACUACCUGCACCAGGACAGAAAGACCCUAUGAAGCUUUACUGUAACUUGAAAUUGAAAUUGGACUUUAUUCGCGCAGUAUAGGUGGGAGGCGUUGAUUAUAAUCUUGUGGGAUUAUUGGAGCCAUCAGUGAGAUACCACUCUUGUAAUGUUAGAUUUCUAACUUUGAAUCAUUAUCUGGUCAAAGAACAGUUUCAGGCGGGCAGUUUGACUGGGGCGGUCGCCUCCUAAACGGUAACGGAGGCGUACAAAGGUUUCCUCUGAACGGUUAGAAAUCGUAUCUAGAGUGUAAAGGCAUAAGGAAGCUUGACUGUGAGACCUACAAGUCGAGCAGGGACGAAAGUCGGUCUUAGUGAUCUGACGGUACUGAGUGGAAAGGCCGUCACUCAACGGAUAAAAGUUACUUUAAGGAUAACAGGCUGAUCUCCCCCAAGAGUUCACAUCGACGGGGAGGUUUGGCACCUCGAUGUCGGCUCAUCGCAUCCUGGGGCGGUAGUACGUCCCAAGGGUUGGGCUGUUCGCCCAUGAAAGCGGUACGCGAGCUGGGUUCAGAACGUCGUGAGACAGUUCAGUCCAUAUCCGGUGUAGGCGUUAGAAUAUUGAGAGGAGCCUUCUUUAGUACGAGAGGACCGAGAAGGACAUACCUCUGGUGUACCAGUUAUCGUGCCAACGGUAAACGCUGGGUAGCUAUGUAUGGAGUGGAUAACCGCUGAAAGCAUCUAAGUGGGAAGCCCACCUCAAGAUAAGUAUUCUCAGC
Molecule: ribosomal RNA, 1245 nt
Filed under: metagenome
Description: bacterial LSU rRNA
Rfam family: Bacterial large subunit ribosomal RNA
Source: RNAcentral